RNAcentral lists this long non-coding RNA (316 nucleotides) under Salmo salar (Atlantic salmon). RNAcentral's name for it is "lncRNA (ENSSSAG00000121171.1)". Lineage: Eukaryota; Metazoa; Chordata; Actinopteri; Salmoniformes; Salmonidae. The record is from RNAcentral.
GGUGCGUGUCCCCAGUCCUGUCCGGCCCGUCCCUGUUCCCCGCACCAGGUUAGUGGUGCGUGUCCCCAGUCCUGUCCGGCCCGUUCCUGCUCCCCGCACCAGGUUAGUGGUGCGUGUCCCCAGUCCUGUCCGGCCCGUCCCUGUUCCCCGCACCAGGUUGGUGGUGCGUGUCCCCAGUCCGGCCCGGCCCGUUCCUGCUCCCCGCACCAAGUCAGUGGUGCGUGUCCCCAGUCCUGUCCGGCCCGUCCCUGCUCCCCGCACCAAGUCAGUGGUGCGUGUCCCCAGUCCUGUCCGGCCCGUCCCUGCUCCCCGCACC